Molecule: long non-coding RNA, 1387 nt
Filed under: Citrus x clementina
Lineage: Eukaryota; Viridiplantae; Streptophyta; Magnoliopsida; Sapindales; Rutaceae
Description: Citrus clementina (C. clementina) long non-coding RNA (CCLE_LNC001995)
Source: RNAcentral
UAUAUUCAUACAACAGUUUAACAGUAAGUUUUACUAAACACUAAAGACUGCUCUUAAAUUCGUAACACUUUUUAAAAUAAAUUUUACCAAACGUUUAACUAAUUCUUUUCACAUCUGAUUAUUUCUACGGCACAAUUAAUAGUUAUUAUUUUAAGAACUACAACAUUACCAAAUUGGAUCAUAAUACAAUCUCAUAUAUAUCCUCACAUAUGUUAUAACAAUUUAAAAUUAUUCUCAUGCCAUUAUGGAUUAGAAUAAUUAAAUUUAAACAUGGCACUUAAUAAAAAUUUAUUCCCUUUUAUUUUGCAAAUUCUGUUAACCGCCUUUGAUAAAUAAAAAUCCGGAUAGGUGUUCCUGUAUUUUUCAUUCUUAUUUCAAAUUCAAGCCAUGACCAUGGCAUCAAUAACUGUCUGUAUUUAUUAAAGAGUAAUGCUACACAUCCCAAAUUUUUUAUCCUAAAAAGUUAUCUCAAAUGAUGUGUCAUUUAUCAAUUGGCUGGUGAAAUAAUGCAAUUAAUUCACUUGGAUCUUAUAAAAAAUUAUCAACCACUCAAUUAAUGACAUAUUAUUUGGGAUAAUUUUUUAGGAUAAAAAUUUGGGAUUAGCACUACUCUUUAUUAAAAGCAUAUAGAAUUUAUGUACUUAACAUCAAUGGAUACGAGGACCGUCAAUUUGACUAAUUAAUUAAAUCGUCACAAUAUUUAAACAGAGGUCUGGCAAGACCAUGUGGGAUAAUCUGAUGAAGGAUCUUGACACUAAAUUUCAGAUAAAUUAUAUACCUUGGAUUUGAUCAAAUCUUUUAUUAAAGCCGUAAGGAUCUACUUGUGGUCCGUCUAAUCUCUACCCAGCCCAAAAAAAAAAAAAAAAAAAGGAAACAAAAUUGCGUAUCAUGCAUAAUGCACAUGCAACGCAGUUUAAAUAAUAAUAAUAAUAAUAAAACUGAAGCUAAAUCUUUGUCGGCCGUUCAAAUACUGACUGGCCAUAGCUAGUGGAUCAAUGAAUAAUUUCAUCUUGGAUAAACCAUAAUCAGCCUCAUGCGGUUCUUUAUUUUCUAGCCUUUGUGUUUCGCUCAACUAGACUGUAGCUGAAGUUUGUGAUUUGGUUAGCCGGCCAAUACUCAUUAGCAUUUGUGUUUAACAUGUUUAGCUAUGGUUUAGUGACUAGAUCAAUUCCGUUGAGGAUCUUUAAUAUUUCACCUCAUAUAUUAUUAUUCAAAUUUAGGCUUCAACCAUAUCACCACUAAUGUAGGGAAUCCAAUCAGAAAUUCGUAGUCACGUAUGUUUGAAAAGAACAAUAUUGUAAGACUUCGUUUGAGAUUAAGGUUGAAAUACCAUAAGCAACUUAUUCAUAAGUUUUGAAAAAAAAUAAUAUUUGGUAAUUUUUUUAAA